Molecule: ribosomal RNA, 427 nt
Filed under: uncultured bacterium
Lineage: Bacteria
Description: partial 16S ribosomal RNA
Rfam family: Bacterial small subunit ribosomal RNA
Source: RNAcentral
UGGGGAAUAUUGCACAAUGGGCGCAAGCCUGAUGCAGCCAUGCCGCGUGUAUGAAGAAGGCCUUCGGGUUGUAAAGUACUUUCAGCGGGGAGGAAGGCGAUAAGGUUAAUAACCUUGUCGAUUGACGUUACCCGCAGAAGAAGCACCGGCUAACUCCGUGCCAGCAGCCGCGGUAAUACGGAGGGUGCAAGCGUUAAUCGGAAUUACUGGGCGUAAAGCGCACGCAGGCGGUCUGUCAAGUCGGAUGUGAAAUCCCCGGUCUCAACCUGGGAACUGCAUUCGAAACUGGCAGGCUAGAGUCUUGUAGAGGGGGGUAGAAUUCCAGGUGUAGCGGUGAAAUGCGUAGAGAUCUGGAGGAAUACCGGUGGCGAAGGCGGCCCCCUGGACAAAGACUGACGCUCAGGUGCGAAAGCGUGGGGAGCAAACA